GAGAGCUUGACCUGGUUCAACUGCCGCAGAGAGCUGAACUGUGGCAGGUGUUCCUCCUCAGGCCUAAUUUUGCUAACUCACGAUUUCCAGCCUUCCAGCCUUUAAAAUGCCUUCCAAAAGUAUCCCAUCAUAGAGAAGACAGCAUGGCUACCCAGGAGAUACGACCUCUUGGAGAACUUGGGAGACCCCAACUUUAAAGAGGCGCAGAGUUAUGGGGAGAAGAUCCAGCACUGUUUGGACCACAGGGAAAGCAGGCCUUCAGACGAGCGUCGGGAGUAUCUUGAA
Leopardus geoffroyi (Geoffroy's cat) is the source of this 285-nucleotide long non-coding RNA. RefSeq lists it as uncharacterized. The transcript has 2 exons. The record is from RefSeq and is a predicted model, not a curated record. NCBI's taxonomy places the organism in Eukaryota, Metazoa, Chordata, Mammalia, Carnivora, Felidae.